UUCCUUAGUUUUAUCUGAAGAUGUUUCUUUCUCGCUUUUAGAAAGGUAGCGUGACAAUGAGGUAUAAUAAUCACGACUUGUUUCCUCAAAAUCUUUCUUUUUCGUAGAUACAUUUUUUAUAUCAGUAUCAUAAAUUUUACGCAAAGGCUCAAUAAGAAAGUUUCUUAGCAAACGAGCACGAUCAAUAUUAAAGGAAUCGAAAGAUUGAGCAGCUGCAGCAUAAUAAUGGUCUAAGAAGGGUUUAAAUGCGGGCGGGUUAAUGGUAGCAACACGUUCAAAUGCUGACAUGAGCUCUUUAUAAGACAUAUAUAGUAGACCAUGAGAAUGUGCUACGUGCUCGAUACGUUUUAUUAACUUUUUCAAAACCAUGCGCAUAUCAUGAGUAGUUCGCUCAUAAUUAAGAAUGGUAGCACGAAACAGAGGACCAUCUUCGGGUUCGGUUUGGUCAAUAUCUCUUGCGACUGGAUUCGUGAGAGGAGGAGAAUUGAUAGGAAGGGGAUCUACGUUACCGGAUAAAGGUGGAGCAUCAGAUAUUUCUGGACUAGUUGCAGUUUCCUCUGCAAGAUGCAUGGGCAUUGGGAAAGGAGUAGCAGGAGUUGAGUCUUGAUCUGAUUCUGUAACGUAAAACUGAAAAGUUUUUAAAGGAACCAAGCAAUUUAAACGUUUAUCGUAUUCGGCAAACUGCAUAUUUAGUACAAAUUGGACAACUCAAUACGAACUCAAGGAACUUACGCAUAGAUAAAUUGGUGAGCCGCCAUUUCUAAAGUAUAAGGUAUGUAACGAUUGAUUAGACCAGGUCCAUUCAAUCUUUUUAGAAUUUUCAUUCGAAUGGAAUUCAAUAUUGCCGAUUAAAAAGACUUGAUGAUUGUUUUGGAACUGAAUCAAAAGUUAGUAAUACCGCUAAAAGUAAAAAUCAUUUCUGAAAAAAGAGAUUCUAAUAAAGGAAAAGAAAACCAUCAUUUUUUUAGACUUCUUAUUUCAAUCAUAACCAAAGACAUACAUUCGCAUCACUAGAAAAUUCGCGCGUGAUUAGCCUAUCGAGUUGUUGAGGUGAAGUACCAUAUACGCAUGUAAGGUUGGUGACAUCUCGUUUUCCCUCUUGUGCAUGAAAUUCUAGCUGAAAGCGAAGAGUCAAUCCGUCUUCCUCUUCAACUUUAACUAUAGGACCCUCCUCUUCACGUAGCUGAAGAUGUGUUAGCAUGUUUGACGAACGGCAAACCUUCAUACCUGGAUAAAUUCAAUUGGUUCAUUGUUCUUUCGGGAAUAACUGUAUUUUGAGUAUUCAGGAGAUUUCGAUACAUUAUGAACCUGCAAACUGGCAUUGUCAUUUGCUGAGCCAAAGGUAACCGACUGAAUCUUUACUUUAGCAGAGUUAGAUCAUCUGUAGUUCACACGAAAAUUUAAAAAAAGUACAUACAUCUCUCAAAAUGAACAGGAUCGACAUGCCCAGUCAUCUCGCGUACUUGAGUUUUCGCAAGCUGUACAACUUAAAGCGCUGUAUGCGAUGAGUAGAACAAAGCAAAUUGUAACAGGAAAAAGAGAAAAACCGAGCUAAAAACUCUCGAAUAAGAAAAACAAG
Molecule: long non-coding RNA, 1579 nt
Filed under: Schizosaccharomyces pombe (fission yeast)
Lineage: Eukaryota; Fungi; Ascomycota; Schizosaccharomycetes; Schizosaccharomycetales; Schizosaccharomycetaceae
Description: lncRNA, antisense cnt5
Source: RNAcentral